GGCGCACGGGUGCGUAACGCGUGGGAAUCUGCCCCUUGGUUCGGAAUAACAGUUAGAAAUGACUGCUAAUACCGGAUAACGACGUAAGUCCAAAGAUUUAUCGCCGAGGGAUGAGCCCGCGUAGGAUUAGCUAGUUGGUGUGGUAAAGGCGCACCAAGGCGACGAUCCUUAGCUGGUCUGAGAGGAUGAUCAGCCACACUGGGACUGAGACACGGCCCAGACUCCUACGGGAGGCAGCAGUGGGGAAUAUUGGACAAUGGGCGAAAGCCUGAUCCAGCAAUGCCGCGUGAGUGAUGAAGGCCUUAGGGUUGCAAAGCUCUUUUACCCGGGAUGAUAAUGACAGUACCGGGAGAAUAAGCCCCGGCUAACUCCGUGCCAGCAGCCGCGGUAAU
RNAcentral lists this ribosomal RNA (392 nucleotides) under uncultured bacterium. RNAcentral's name for it is "bacterial SSU rRNA". It matches the Rfam family "Bacterial small subunit ribosomal RNA", at positions 97 to 524 of the family's 1533-position model. The record is from RNAcentral.